AAUAACUCAGGGAAACUUGUGCUAAUACCGAAUGUGCCCUUCGGGGGAAAGAUUUAUCGCCUUUAGAGCGGCCCGCGUCUGAUUAGCUAGUUGGUAGUGUAAUGGACUACCAAGGCGACGAUCAGUAGCUGGUCUGAGAGGAUGAUCAGCCACAUUGGGACUGAGACACGGCCCAAACUCCUACGGGAGGCAGCAGUGGGGAAUCUUGCGCAAUGGGCGAAAGCCUGACGCAGCCAUGCCGCGUGAAUGAUGAAGGUCUUAGGAUUGUAAAAUUCUUUCACCGGGGACGAUAAUGACGGUACCCGGAGAAGAAGCCCCGGCUAACUUCGUGCCAGCAGCCGCGGUAAUACGAAGGGGGCUAGCGUUGCUCGGAAUUACUGGGCGUAAAGGGAGCGUAGGCGGACAUUUAAGUCAGGGGUGAAAUCCCGGGGCUCAACCUCGGAAUUGCCUUUGAUACUGGGUGUCUUGAGUAUGAGA
RNAcentral lists this ribosomal RNA (477 nucleotides) under Brevundimonas sp. RNAcentral's name for it is "bacterial SSU rRNA". It matches the Rfam family "Bacterial small subunit ribosomal RNA", at positions 142 to 653 of the family's 1533-position model. Lineage: Bacteria; Pseudomonadati; Pseudomonadota; Alphaproteobacteria; Caulobacterales; Caulobacteraceae. The record is from RNAcentral.